GUGUUCGCUUCAACAGCACAUAGACUACAAGUGGAACAAUACAGAGAAGGCUAGCAUGGCCCCUGCACAAGGAGGACACACAAACUCAUGAGGCAUUAAAAAAUAAA
Molecule: small nuclear RNA, 107 nt
Organism: Artibeus jamaicensis (Jamaican fruit-eating bat)
Lineage: Eukaryota; Metazoa; Chordata; Mammalia; Chiroptera; Phyllostomidae
Source: RefSeq, a predicted model, not a curated record